UGACUGGGGCGGUCUCCUCCCAAAGAGUAACGGAGGAGCACGAAGGUUGGCUAAUCCUGGUCGGACAUCAGGAGGUUAGUGCAAUGGCAUAAGCCAGCUUGACUGCGAGCGUGACGGCGCGAGCAGGUGCGAAAGCAGGUCAUAGUGAUCCGGUGGUUCUGAAUGGAAGGGCCAUCGCUCAACGGAUAAAAGGUACUCCGGGGAUAACAGGCUGAUACCGCCCAAGAGUUCAUAUCGACGGCGGUGUUUGGCACCUCGAUGUCGGCUCAUCACAUCCUGGGGCUGAAGUAGGUCCCAAGGGUAUGGCUGUUCGCCAUUUAAAGUGGUACGCGAGCUGGGUUUAGAACGUCGUGAGACAGUUCGGUCCCUAUCUGCCGUGGGCGCUGGAAGAUUGAGGGGGGCUGCUCCUAGUACGAGAGGACCGGAGUGGACGCAUCACUGGUGUUCGGGUUGUCAUGCCAAUGGCACUGCCCGGUAGCUAAAUGCGGAAGAGAUAAGUGCUGAAAGCAUCUAAGCACGAAACUUGCCCCGAGAUGAAUCUUCCCUGAGACUUUAAGUCUCCUGAAGGAACGUUGAAGACGACGACGUUGAUAGGCCGGGUGUGUAAGCGCAGCGAUGCGUUGAGCUAACCGGUACUAAUGAACCGUGAGGCUUAACCUUACAACGC
This 667-nucleotide ribosomal RNA is filed under the name Salmonella bongori. RNAcentral describes it as "partial 23S ribosomal RNA". It matches the Rfam family "Bacterial large subunit ribosomal RNA", at positions 2270 to 2925 of the family's 2925-position model. The record is from RNAcentral. Lineage: Bacteria; Pseudomonadati; Pseudomonadota; Gammaproteobacteria; Enterobacterales; Enterobacteriaceae.